GUCUGUGUUCCCCUCACUCUCUGUUUGUUCAUCCGUUCAGUUUAUGUGAGUUUCCUUAUGCUUUCUGUUCCCAGUGCUUCCAUGUUUUAACCUGCGCUCCUGUUAAUCGCGUUCUUGACUUUUACCCGUUGUUUUGGACUCUGGAUAACCUGCUGCCCCGGCUGGAUUUAUUUACCUGUUUUGACGGCCUCACAAUCCAGCGACACUGACCUGCAUCUACUAAUCUUAGGGUCCUCCAUCCUGUUUCCCUGCAAACAUCACUGUGGGCCUGUGUAAAUGAAAAGUCUCAGUGCUGUCAUUUCAGCGCCGUGAAGAAUCUGCAACCCACCUCCACCCCUUUUCCACCUCAACAGUGGGUGCCAGACCAUCUUGAACGAAACCAUCCAAUCAGAAGUUUCCCUCAUGAAGACAUUCACCACCACCAGUGUCUAGACUCCAGGGGAAGAUUCCUGUUAUUGGAAGGACCUUAAACCUGUGGAUCGUUUCCAUGGUGAUCCACUUCCUGCUGGCAUAAAGUCUUACUAUAGGAAGGCAUAAAAACGUCAUAGUAAACACCAUGGAGAAUCUGCGACCCACCUCCACCCCUUUUCCACAUCAACUAUGGACGGCAAACCAUCCAAUCAGAAGUUUCCCUCAUAAAAACAUUCCCAUCCUCGAGCUCGAUUCCUCAUCAUCACCACCACCACCAGUGUCUAGACUCAGGGGAAGAUUCAUGAUAAUGGAAGGACCUUAAACCUAUGGAUUGUUUCCAUGGUGAUCCAUUUCCUGCUGGGGUCUAAGCACCAAAGUCUAUUUCUUCUGUUCACAAUAAAUUUUGUUUUAGUACUUGCA
Molecule: long non-coding RNA, 831 nt
Organism: Seriola aureovittata
Lineage: Eukaryota; Metazoa; Chordata; Actinopteri; Carangiformes; Carangidae
Exons: 3
Source: RefSeq, a predicted model, not a curated record